This 68-nucleotide transfer RNA is filed under the name Idiurus macrotis (long-eared scaly-tailed flying squirrel). Its description in RNAcentral is "tRNA-Phe". It matches the Rfam family "tRNA". From Rfam's summary of the family: Transfer RNA (tRNA) molecules are approximately 80 nucleotides in length. The record is from RNAcentral. Lineage: Eukaryota; Metazoa; Chordata; Mammalia; Rodentia; Anomaluridae.
GUUGAUGUAGCUUAAUAAAAUUAAAGCAAGGCACUGAAAAUGCCUAGAUGGGUUCUACCCCAUGAACA